GACGAACGCUGGCGGCGUGCUUAACACAUGCAAGUCGAACGGAAAGGCCCUGCUUUUGUGGGGUGCUCGAGUGGCGAACGGGUGAGUAACACGUGAGUAACCUGCCAUUGACUUUGGGAUAACUUCAGGAAACUGGGUCUAAUACCGGAUAGGAGCUCCUGCGGCAGGGUGGGGGUUGGAAAGUUUCGGCGGUUGGGGAUGGACUCGCGGCUUAUCAGCUUGUUGGUGGGGUAGUGUCUUACCAAGGCUUUGACGGGUAGCCGGGCUGGGCGGGUGACCGGCCACAUUGGGACUGAGAUACGGCCCAGACUCCUACGGGAGGCAGCAGUGGGGAAUAUUGCACAAUGGGCGGAAGCCUGAUGCAGCAACGCCGCGUGCGGGAUGACGGCCUUCGGGUUGUAAACCGCUUUCGCCUGUGACGAAGCGUGAGUGACGGUAAUGGGUAAAGAAGCACCGGCUAACUACGUG
Molecule: ribosomal RNA, 468 nt
Filed under: uncultured bacterium
Lineage: Bacteria
Description: partial 16S ribosomal RNA
Rfam family: Bacterial small subunit ribosomal RNA
Source: RNAcentral